RNAcentral lists this ribosomal RNA (395 nucleotides) under Salmonella enterica. RNAcentral's name for it is "partial 23S ribosomal RNA". It matches the Rfam family "Bacterial large subunit ribosomal RNA", at positions 200 to 631 of the family's 2925-position model. The record is from RNAcentral. Lineage: Bacteria; Pseudomonadati; Pseudomonadota; Gammaproteobacteria; Enterobacterales; Enterobacteriaceae. RNAcentral also lists the same sequence under 2 other names.
AUCUAAGUACCCCGAGGAAAAGAAAUCAACCGAGAUUCCCCCAGUAGCGGCGAGCGAACGGGGAGGAGCCCAGAGCCUGAAUCAGCAUGUGUGUUAGUGGAAGCGUCUGGAAAGGCGCGCGAUACAGGGUGACAGCCCCGUACACAAAAGCGCAUGUGUUGUGAGCUCGAUGAGUAGGGCGGGACACGUGGUAUCCUGUCUGAAUAUGGGGGGACCAUCCUCCAAGGCUAAAUACUCCUGACUGACCGAUAGUGAACCAGUACCGUGAGGGAAAGGCGAAAAGAACCCCGGCGAGGGGAGUGAAAAAGAACCUGAAACCGUGUACGUACAAGCAGUGGGAGCACAGGUUUACCUGUGUGACUGCGUACCUUUUGUAUAAUGGGUCAGCGACUUAU